GACGAACGCUGGCGGCGCGCUUAACACAUGCAAGUCGAACGGAAAGGCCUGCUUUCCCUUGUGGAUUGCGGGUACUCGAGUGGCGAACGGGUGAGUAACACGUGAGUGAUCUGCCCCCAACUUGGGUAUAAGCCUGGGAGACUGGGUCUAAUUCCCGAUAGGACUGCAGGGUGGUGCCUGUGGUGGAAAACGAUUUUCUAGUGGUUGGGGAUGAGCUCGCGGACUAUCAGCUUGUUGGUGGGGUAAUGGCCUACCAAGGCGGCGACGGGUAGCCGGCCUGAGAGGGUGGACGGCCACAUUGGGACUGAGAUACGGCCCAGACUCCUACGGGAGGCAGCAGUGGGGACUAUUGCACAAUGGGCGGAAGCCUGAUGCAGCGACGCCGCGUGGGGGAUGACGGCCUUCGGGUUGUAAACUCCUUUCGACCGCGAGGAAGCCACCUGGUUGGAAGGGUGGUGACGGUAGUGGUAGAAGAAGCACCGGCUAACUACGUG
Molecule: ribosomal RNA, 494 nt
Filed under: uncultured bacterium
Lineage: Bacteria
Description: partial 16S ribosomal RNA
Rfam family: Bacterial small subunit ribosomal RNA
Source: RNAcentral